This is a long non-coding RNA of Eucalyptus grandis, 590 nucleotides long. RefSeq lists it as uncharacterized. The record is from RefSeq and is a predicted model, not a curated record. NCBI's taxonomy places the organism in Eukaryota, Viridiplantae, Streptophyta, Magnoliopsida, Myrtales, Myrtaceae. The transcript has 2 exons.
CUAUGCUCCUUAACUUCCGCACGGAGCCAUUGUCCAUAAGCCAUCUUCUCCUUUCCAUCAAGUCUCGCUUUGUCAAAUGGAAUGUCCUUACAAGACAUGGCAUAAUGCCCCGACUUCCCACAUGAAUAACGAAGUGUGAAAGCCGCUCAUAACGAAAAUCCAACCAUAAUGUCUUGUUAUUGAUUCUAAUAAGUCGGCUUGUCUGCAAAGGUUCCUGUAGAUUAAUUUCUACUCUUGCGCGACCCGAUCUCAUGUUAAAACCUUCUUUAGUUUUUGCUUUUACUUCUAACACUGUGCCAAUAUUUUUGACUGCCUUGGAAAUCAUUUGUUCAGUGCACCACUCCAAUGGCAAGCCAAAAACUUGCCCCCAAAAGGCGCAAGUGGAGAAGUCGUAGCAAUGCAACGGGGUAUUUGGAAUCCAAGAUUUAAAAGCUACAAGAUGUCUGGAAAAUAGCCAAGGGGAUGGCUCGUCGUUCUAGACCCUCUAUUUCAUGUGCUGAGCAUAAUCUUCCCAGACGUUGACAAAGUGCGGCAAGUUGGGAAGAAGUCUCAUCUUCUUCAUGGUCCAUGAGUUCGCUAGACAGAAUCGA